GGAUGUGAGGGCGACCUGGCUGUAACAUCUGUCUCCCAUUGUUCGCCAGGGUAGAUUCACCUGAUCUGGCUGGCUAGGCGAUGUCCCCUUUCUCCCUUACUGCUCCAUGUGAGUCCCUCCCGAAGCUGUGUGCUGGGUGGAAGAGGAUGACCUUCCCAGAUAGAGGAGGACCAUUCUUCAGUCAAAGGUAUACGAGUAGCUGCACUCCCCUGCUAGAACCAACAAACAAGCCUCAACUCAUGUGAUUCUAAAACAUAAUUCACUGGGAAAUCAAAUACUAAAAUAAAGGUAAAUCUCCUAAG
This 302-nucleotide small nuclear RNA is filed under the name Microcebus murinus (gray mouse lemur). Its description in RNAcentral is "7SK RNA (ENSMICG00000024015.3)". It matches the Rfam family "7SK RNA". From Rfam's summary of the family: 7SK was discovered as an abundant small nuclear RNA in the mid-70s but a possible function has only recently been suggested. The record is from Rfam by way of RNAcentral. Lineage: Eukaryota; Metazoa; Chordata; Mammalia; Primates; Cheirogaleidae.